RNAcentral lists this ribosomal RNA (831 nucleotides) under uncultured bacterium. RNAcentral's name for it is "bacterial SSU rRNA". It matches the Rfam family "Bacterial small subunit ribosomal RNA", at positions 105 to 927 of the family's 1533-position model. The record is from RNAcentral.
GGUGAGUAACGCGUGGGUGACCUACCUUGAGGAUGGGGAUAGCUGUUAGAAAUAGCAGGUAAUACCGAAUACGUUCACAAUAUUAUGAUUAUGUGAAGAAAGGAGCUACGGCUCCGCCUUGAGAUGGGCCCGCGUCCCAUUAGCUAGUUGGUGAGGUAAAGGCCCACCAAGGCGAAGAUGGGUAGCCGGCCUGAGAGGGUGAACGGCCACACUGGGACUGAGAUACGGCCCAGACUCCUACGGGAGGCAGCAGCUAAGAAUAUUCCACAAUGGACGAAAGUCUGAUGGAGCGACGCCGCGUGGAUGACGAAGGCCGAAAGGUUGUAAAAUCCUUUUGCGGAUGAAGAAUAAGCGGUGGAGGGAAUGCCAUCGUGAUGACGUUAGUCCGCGAAUAAGCCCCGGCUAAUUACGUGCCAGCAGCCGCGGUAACACGUAAGGGGCAAGCGUUGUUCGGAAUUAUUGGGCGUAAAGGACGCGUAGGCGGCCGCGUAAGUCUGAUGUGAAAACCCCGGGCUCAACCCGGGAACUGCAUUGGAAACUGUGCGGCUUGAGUCACGGAGGGGAAAUCGGAAUUCCUGGUGUAGGGGUGAAAUCUGUAGAUAUCAGGAAGAACACCGGUGGCGAAGGCGGAUUUCCAGCCGAUGACUGACGCUGAGGCGCGAAAGUGCGGGGAGCAAACAGGAUUAGAUACCCUGGUAGUCCGCACUAUAAACGAUGCACACUAGGUGUCGGGACGAGCGUCUCGGCGCCGGAGCGAACGCGAUAAGUGUGCCGCCUGGGGGAGUAUGCCCGCAAGGGUGAAACUCAAAGGAAUUGACGGAAUCGAAUUCC